This is a small nucleolar RNA of Episyrphus balteatus (marmalade hoverfly), 143 nucleotides long. RefSeq annotates it as small nucleolar RNA psi18S-841/snoR66. Lineage: Eukaryota; Metazoa; Arthropoda; Insecta; Diptera; Syrphidae. The record is from RefSeq and is a predicted model, not a curated record. The transcript has a single exon.
UGCAAGGGCACUCUGUGUUACAAGAAAAAUUUUAUUGUAAUCCAAUUUGUAACCUUGCUAGAAGAAAAAUCACAAAAUUUGAAUUUGUAUCCCGUUUUUAAAGGAAUCAAACAGAAAGUAGUGAAACAAUCAAUUUGAUUUCU